RNAcentral lists this long non-coding RNA (308 nucleotides) under Anser cygnoides (Swan goose). RNAcentral describes it as "lncRNA (ENSACDG00005004148.1)". Lineage: Eukaryota; Metazoa; Chordata; Aves; Anseriformes; Anatidae. The record is from RNAcentral.
AGGAGCCGCGUCCCGCUGCCACUUUCCCGGCGCGGCCGCUGGCUUCGGACGGGAGAGGCGCCGCGGUCGCCGCCCGCCUCUUUAUGGAAACUACACAGAAGCCCCAUGCAAGUGGUGCCUAUUGUUUUCAUGAUCGGAGACUUCUUUCUGUAAGUACAUUGAUUUUUUUUUCCUGUUUAUUUUAUUUUUCCUUAGAAUGUAAUUGAAAUCUCUGUUUUGCUGUCAAAAUGAAUAAGGAAAUAUAUUAGCUUUCACAACUUGCCUUGCUGAUGGUGGAUCUCAAGACACACAGACCAUAUGUACACGGU